RNAcentral lists this long non-coding RNA (610 nucleotides) under Androctonus crassicauda. The record is from RNAcentral. Lineage: Eukaryota; Metazoa; Arthropoda; Arachnida; Scorpiones; Buthidae.
AUAUCACACAAUGUAUUUAACAUACGUCACAAUCAUCAGCCGCAAACAAACUAAUUGAUCGAAGUAGAUGGUUCGAUCAGUUUGUACGGGUGAAGGAUUUGGUGGAAGUUCCGAAUUCACAUGUUUAUGGAGAGCUACAGUUUAUAGGAUUCGUAUAGAACUAAAGAACAAACAGAAUUUAUGAUACCAAAAAAAAAACAAAUAGAAAAAACAACGAGGAAUAGUGAUUAUCUAAAACAUCUCAAACUGUGGUUGGUAGUAUCGGCUGUUACUUUGUUUGCAUUUUUACGCCCUUUUCCAAUCUGAUUUUUAAGGCACGGCCAGUUCCAAUCACGGGCUAUACCCACCCCCAGUGGAGGGAGGAUGGUGAAGGACGAGAUCGCCGGGGCGGUCUCAGAACCCGAAAAAACUUUCCGCCAGUUGCCGGAUCCGGGACGCGAACCCAGAUCUUCCUUCGUAACAUGCCAACGCAUUUCCAGUGGGCCAUCCAGCCACUUUAGUCACAGAAACGAUUCAUCAUGGAGAAUAAAAACAGUUUGUGUUUACAAAGAGAAAUGUUUAUUUCACAAACCAGGAUUUGACUGCAAUGUCAUAUUAAGUUAAACUGACU